UUACAUUUUUAUUACGUCGUCGAUUAUGUUUACAUUAUAAACUUUACUGAAAAAGAAAUCUUGAAACUAUAUUAUUUUACUGAAUUUAAUUGUAUUUUUAGUGAAUUUAAUUUUACUGAAAGUAGGGUUUGUAAAUUUGCUGACUUUUUCAUUUACCGAAACGGAAUCUACCUCUGGAGUUACAUAGAAGUGAAGUAAAUAAAAAAAUUUUCCGGUCAAAGACUGGAAUUAUUAUCAGCUAAAGAAACAAAGAUUCCGAAGAACUUACAUUAGGUGGACCAACCGAUUAUAAAACAACUUUUCUUUUUACGAAAAUAAUAACUCAAAUAAUUUAAAUAAGUCAUGUGUAUGUAGUGUUGGGAUAACCGGUAUAUAUAACCGGUAUUUGGAACAAUUUGGAGUUGUUGAAAUGCCAGUAUUAAAAAAGUCGAAUACCCUUAUUUCGAUAUUCGAAAUAAUUUUACCCUGUAAAAUAAUUUCACUAAUAUAUAGUUUUACCAAUG
Hydra vulgaris (swiftwater hydra) is the source of this 503-nucleotide long non-coding RNA. RefSeq lists it as uncharacterized. The record is from RefSeq and is a predicted model, not a curated record. Lineage: Eukaryota; Metazoa; Cnidaria; Hydrozoa; Anthoathecata; Hydridae.